RNAcentral lists this ribosomal RNA (391 nucleotides) under unidentified bacterium TMB820. RNAcentral's name for it is "bacterial SSU rRNA". It matches the Rfam family "Bacterial small subunit ribosomal RNA", at positions 119 to 496 of the family's 1533-position model. The record is from RNAcentral.
GGGCAACCUGCCUAUAAGACUGGGAUAACUUCGGGAAACCGGAGCUAAUACCGGAGACGUUCUUUUCUCGCAUGAGAGAAGAUGGAAAGACGGUUUACGCUGUCACUUAUAGAUGGGCCCGCGGCGCAUUAGCUAGUUGGUGAGGUAAUGGCUCACCAAGGCGACGAUGCGUAGCCGACCUGAGAGGGUGAUCGGCCACACUGGGACUGAGACACGGCCCAGACUCCUACGGGAGGCAGCAGUAGGGAAUCUUCCGCAAUGGACGAAAGUCUGACGGAGCAACGCCGCGUGAACGAAGAAGGCCUUCGGGUCGUAAAGUUCUGUUGUUAGGGAAGAACAAGUACCAGAGUAACUGCUGGUACCUUGACGGUACCUAACCAGAAAGCCACGG